UACGGGAGGCAGCAGUGGGGAAUAUUGCACAAUGGGCGAAAGCCUGAUGCAGCGACGCCGCGUGAGGGAUGACGGCCUUCGGGUUGUAAACCUCUUUCAGCAGGGAAGAAGCGCAAGUGACGGUACCUGCAGAAGAAGCGCCGGCUAACUACGUGCCAGCAGCCGCGGUAAUACGUAGGGCGCAAGCGUUGUCCGGAAUUAUUGGGCGUAAAGAGCUCGUAGGCGGCUUGUCACGUCGGAUGUGAAAGCCCGGGGCUUAACCCCGGGUCUGCAUUCGAUACGGGCUAGCUAGAGUGUGGUAGGGGAGAUCGGAAUUCCUGGUGUAGCGGUGAAAUGCGCAGAUAUCAGGAGGAACACCGGUGGCGAAGGCGGAUCUCUGGGCCAUUACUGACGCUGAGGAGCGAAAGCGUGGGGAGCGAACAGGAUUAGAUACCCUGGUAGUCCACGCCGUAAACGUUGGGAACUAGGUGUUGGCGACAUUCCACGUCGUCGGUGCCGCAGCUAACGCAUUAAGUUCCCCGCCUGGGGAGUACGGCCGCAAGGCUAAAACUCAAAGGAAUUGACGGGGGGCCCGCACAAGCAGCGGAGCAUGUGGCUUAAUUCGACGCAACGCGAAGAACCUUACCAAGGCUUGACAUAUACCGGAAAGCAUCAGAGAUGGUGCCCCCCUUGUGGUCGGUAUACAGGUGGUGCAUGGCUGUCGUCAGCUCGUGUCGUGAGAUGUUGGGUUAAGUCCCGCAACGAGCGCAACCCUUGUUCUGUGUUGCCAGCAUGCCUUUCGGGGUGAUGGGGACUCACAGGAGACUGCCGGGGUCAACUCGGAGGAAGGUGGGGACGACGUCAAGUCAUCAUGCCCCUUAUGUCUUGGGCUGCACACGUGCUACAAUGGCCGGUACAAUGAGCUGCGAUGCCGUGAGGCGGAGCGAAUCUCAAAAAGCCGGUCUCAGUUCGGAUUGGGGUCUGCAACUCGACCCCAUGAAGUCGGAGUUGCUAGUAAUCGCAGAUCAGCAUUGCUGCGGUGAAUACGUUCCCGGGCCUUGUACACACCGCCCGUC
Molecule: ribosomal RNA, 1055 nt
Filed under: Streptomyces sp.
Lineage: Bacteria; Bacillati; Actinomycetota; Actinomycetes; Kitasatosporales; Streptomycetaceae
Description: bacterial SSU rRNA
Rfam family: Bacterial small subunit ribosomal RNA
Source: RNAcentral